UGUAGUCGAACUAAGUCGGGUGAUGCUCAGGGAAUUAGAUUGGGAAAUGAGACGCUUAAAGUAGUGAAGGAGUUCUGCUAUUUGAGGAGCAAAAUAACUGAUGAUGGUAGACACUUCGUCCAGUGUUGCUGUAGCUUUUGAUACAAACUGGCAAAGGUUCAGAUUCAUCCUUGUCUUUACUUUCUUCACUUAUCGAUAUCGUCAAUUGAAGACCUCCUACGAUUCCAAUUUUUCUCGAAGUAAGUCCGUGCUCUGUUUACAUUGUAAAAUAUACUCAGCUGAAUAACUUUUGAUCUUUAACCUCCAGAAUUUUGCAGAUGGAACCAAGGGUAGAUAGUGGCCUCUGAGCUGUUUCUUUACUUAAUUCUGUGCCUUUGUUAAAUUACAUUAUCAUAGUGCAAGUUGGUCAUACAAUUUUGAUGCAAAAGUGAACCUGAAAACAUGAUAAAAUGUGGACGCCUCUGGAGAAAGCUCAGUGUGUGUGGCCCGGUAGAUACAGAUGAUACCUGAUGCCCAAAUUCAACGAACCUUUCAGACUUGGAAUACAUCAUUUAUGGAAACAGUGCUCAAAAGACAUUUACAGUGGGGUGUGCAGUUGAGAACAGUUCUCCAUCUACCCCUCAGCGCGCACCAGAAUUAUUCAAAGCGGGGCACUCUGCCAAUUCUAAGAAGCAGGCCAAAGAUGUCCUGGUAAGCAGCACAUUGUCAAUGCUGCGAGACAUACAAACAGCAAUGAAUGGGAGCAGUGAGGAUGACAAGUUGGGCCAAUAUGUUGCAGCUGAGCUGAUAACAACUAAAAAUAGAAAAUUGAAUGCAGAGGCAAAGUGCCUUAUCAUGAAAGCCAUCAUGGGUGCAAUUCAGAAAG
Long non-coding RNA from Schistocerca americana (American grasshopper), 865 nucleotides. RefSeq lists it as uncharacterized. NCBI's taxonomy places the organism in Eukaryota, Metazoa, Arthropoda, Insecta, Orthoptera, Acrididae. The transcript is spliced from 3 exons. The record is from RefSeq and is a predicted model, not a curated record.